Molecule: ribosomal RNA, 258 nt
Filed under: uncultured Glomus
Lineage: Eukaryota; Fungi; Glomeromycota; Glomeromycetes; Glomerales; Glomeraceae
Description: partial 18S ribosomal RNA
Rfam family: Eukaryotic small subunit ribosomal RNA
Source: RNAcentral
AAGCUCGUAGUUGAAUUUCGGGGUUAGUAGGUUGGUCAUGCCUCUGGUAUGUACUGGUCUCACUGAUUCCUCCUUCCUUAUGAACCGUAAUGCCAUUAAUUUGGUGUUGCGGGGAAUUUGGACUGUUACUUUGAAAAAAUUAGAGUGUUUAAAGCAAGCUAACGCUUGAAUACAUUAGCAUGGAAUAAUGAAAUAGGACGUUCGAUCUUAUCUUGUUGGUUUCUAGGAUUGACGUAAUGAUUAAUAGGGAUAGUUGGG